Molecule: ribosomal RNA, 442 nt
Filed under: uncultured eukaryote
Lineage: Eukaryota
Description: bacterial SSU rRNA
Rfam family: Bacterial small subunit ribosomal RNA
Source: RNAcentral
GAUGAACGCUGGCGGUAUGCCUAACACAUGCAAGUCGUACGAGGGUUUUUAACUCUAGUGGCGGACGGGUGAGUAACACGUGAGAAUUUGCCUUUAGGAGGGGGAUAACAAUCGGAAACGAAUGCUAAUACCCCAUAUGCUUUUGAGUGAAACGGAUUUAUCCGCCUAAAGAGAAGCUCGCGGCUGAUUAGCUUGUUGGUAAGGUAAGAGCUUACCAAGGCGACGAUCAGUAUCUGGUUUGAGAGGACGAUCAGACACACUGGAACUGAGACACGGUCCAGACUCCUACGGGAGGCAGCAGUGGGGAAUUUUCCGCAAUGGGCGAAAGCCUGACGGAGCAAUACCGCGUGAGGGAAGACUGCCUAUGGGUUGUAAACCUCUUUUUUCAGGGAGGAAUAAAAUGACGUGUACCUGAAGAAUAAGCAUCGGCUAACUCCGUGCC